This 104-nucleotide ribosomal RNA is filed under the name Procavia capensis (Cape rock hyrax). Lineage: Eukaryota; Metazoa; Chordata; Mammalia; Hyracoidea; Procaviidae. The record is from RNAcentral.
GUCUGUGGCCAUACCACCCUGAACGUACCCUGAUCUCAGAAGCUAUUCAGGCCUGGUUAGUACCUGGAUGGGAGACUGCCUGGGAAUACUGAGUGCUGGAGGCU